AACGAACGCUGGCGGCAUGCCUAACACAUGCAAGUCGAACGAGACCUUCGGGUCUAGUGGCGCACGGGUGCGUAACGCGUGGGAACCUGCCCUUGGUUCGGAAUAACUCCCCGAAAGGGGUGCUAAUACCGGAUAAUGUCUUCGGACCAAAGAUUUAUCGCCUUUGGAUGGGCCCGCGUUGGAUUAGCUAGUUGGUAGGGUAAAAGCCUACCAAGGCGACGAUCCAUAGCUGGUCUGAGAGGAUGAUCAGCCACACUGGGACUGAGACACGGCCCAGACUCAUACGCGAGGCAGGAGAGGGUGAUGGAGGAAAGGCGGCGGAGGGAUGAUGGAGCUAGGACGCGAGAGUGAUGAUAGUAUGGAGGAAGAAAAGCGCAAUGAACUGUGAACAUAAUGACGGUACCGGAAGAGAAAGCCACGGCUAACUACGUG
RNAcentral lists this ribosomal RNA (432 nucleotides) under uncultured bacterium. RNAcentral describes it as "partial 16S ribosomal RNA". It matches the Rfam family "Bacterial small subunit ribosomal RNA", at positions 29 to 507 of the family's 1533-position model. The record is from RNAcentral.